This 329-nucleotide small nuclear RNA is filed under the name Oryctolagus cuniculus (rabbit). RNAcentral's name for it is "7SK RNA". It matches the Rfam family "7SK RNA". From Rfam's summary of the family: 7SK was discovered as an abundant small nuclear RNA in the mid-70s but a possible function has only recently been suggested. Two independent studies have found that 7SK RNA binds the CDK9/cyclin T complex (known as elongation factor P-TEFb). The record is from Rfam by way of RNAcentral. Lineage: Eukaryota; Metazoa; Chordata; Mammalia; Lagomorpha; Leporidae.
GGAUGUGAGGGCGAUCUGGCUGCGACAUCUGUCACCCCAUUGAUCACCAGGGUUGAUUCAGCUGAUCUGGCUGGCUAGGCAGGUGUCCCCUUCCUCCCUCACCGCUCCAUGUGCGUCCCUCCCGAAGCUGCGCGCUCGGUCGAAGAGGACGACCUUCCCCACUAGAGGAGGACCGGUCUUCGGUCAAGGGUAUACGAGUAGCUGUGCUCCCCUGCUAGAACCUCCACACAAGCUCUCAAGAAACCUGUGUCCCAGUCAGAGUCCCGGGAUUCGAGUUCUCACCUCCGCUCCUGCUUCCAGCUCCCUGCUAAGGCACCCUGGGAGCAUGG